UCGCGGCCUAUCAGCUUGUUGGUGGGGUAAUGGCCUACCAAGGCGACGACGGGUAGCCGGCCUGAGAGGGUGACCGGCCACACUGGGACUGAGACACGGCCCAGACUCCUACGGGAGGCAGCAGUGGGGAAUAUUGCACAAUGGGCGCAAGCCUGAUGCAGCGACGCCGCGUGAGGGAUGAAGGCCUUCGGGUUGUAAACCUCUUUCAGUAGGGAAGAAGCCGCUCCUUUUUGGGGGUGGUGACGGUACCUGCAGAAGAAGCGCCGGCUAACUACGUGCCAGCAGCCGCGGUAAUACGUAGGGCGCAAGCGUUAUCCGGAAUUAUUGGGCGUAAAGAGCUCGUAGGCGGUUUGUCGCGUCUGCCGUGAAAGUCCGGGGCUUAACUCCGGAUCUGCGGUGGGUACGGGCAGACUAGAGUGCAGUAGGGGAGACUGGAAUUCCUGGUGUAGCGGUGAAAUGCGCAGAUAUCAGGAGGAACACCGAUGGCGAAGGCAGGUCUCUGGGCUGUAACUGACGCUGAGGAGCGAAAGCAUGGGGAGCGAACAGGAUUAGAUACCCUGGUAGUCCAUGCCGUAAACGUUGGGCACUAGGUGUGGGGGACAGUCCACGUUUUCCGCGCCGUAGCUAACGCAUUAAGUGCCCCGCCUGGGGAGUAC
RNAcentral lists this ribosomal RNA (656 nucleotides) under uncultured bacterium. RNAcentral's name for it is "bacterial SSU rRNA". It matches the Rfam family "Bacterial small subunit ribosomal RNA", at positions 231 to 883 of the family's 1533-position model. The record is from RNAcentral.